RNAcentral lists this unclassified non-coding RNA (94 nucleotides) under Pseudomonas sp. NFIX28. The record is from RNAcentral. Lineage: Bacteria; Pseudomonadati; Pseudomonadota; Gammaproteobacteria; Pseudomonadales; Pseudomonadaceae.
AGCUUUGGCGAGGCUGCGAUCGGUCCCGAAGGGGACGCGGCGAUUUUGAGAUCCAUGCGCCCGCGUUGCGGUCGAUCGCAGCCUCGCUAAGGCU